Molecule: ribosomal RNA, 484 nt
Filed under: uncultured bacterium
Lineage: Bacteria
Description: partial 16S ribosomal RNA
Rfam family: Bacterial small subunit ribosomal RNA
Source: RNAcentral
AUUGAACGCUGGCGGCAGGCCUAACACAUGCAAGUCGAGCGGAUGAAGGGAGCUUGCUCCUGGAUUCAGCGGCGGACGGGUGAGUAAUGCCUAGGAAUCUGCCUGGUAGUGGGGGAUAACGUCCGGAAACGGGCGCUAAUACCGCAUACGUCCUGAGGGAGAAAGUGGGGGAUCUUCGGACCUCACGCUAUCAGAUGAGCCUAGGUCGGAUUAGCUAGUUGGUGGGGUAAAGGCCUACCAAGGCGACGAUCGGUAACUGGUCUGAGAGGAUGAUCAGUCACACGGGAACUGGAAAACGGUCCAGACUCCUACGGGAGGCAGCAGUGGGGAAUAUUGGACAAUGGGCGAAAGCCUGAUCCAGCCAUGCCGCGUGUGUGAAGAAGGUCUUCGGAUUGUAAAGCCCUUUAAGUUGGGAGGAAGGGCAGUAAGUGAAUACCUUGCUGUUUUGACGGUACCAACAGAAUAAGCACCGGCUAACUUCGUG